AACGCACGAGACCUGCGGACCUGCGGAAGGAUCAUUACCGAGUUUUCAACUCCCAAACCCCUGUGAACAUACCUAUCGUUGCCUCGGCGAGAGUAGCCCCAGGCGUUGGCGCAAGCCUUCGCCCUGGUAUCAGGCGCUCGCCGGAGGACCCAACUAAACUCUUGUAUUCUAAAGAAUCUUCUGAGUAACCAAAACAAAUAAAUUAAAACUUUCAACAAUGGAUCUCUAGAUCGGAAGAGC
This 240-nucleotide unclassified non-coding RNA is filed under the name soil metagenome. Its description in RNAcentral is "partial contains 5.8S ribosomal RNA, internal transcribed spacer 2, and large subunit ribosomal RNA". The record is from RNAcentral.